Molecule: long non-coding RNA, 4341 nt
Filed under: Gossypium raimondii (Peruvian cotton)
Lineage: Eukaryota; Viridiplantae; Streptophyta; Magnoliopsida; Malvales; Malvaceae
Description: long non-coding RNA (GRAI_LNC009554)
Source: RNAcentral
UGCUCCCUUCGCCACCUUCAUCGGCAGUUCCAGCUUAAUUUCUCACAACAAAAAACUCAUUUCAUCAAUCACUUCAAAUCAUUUUCUUUUGGGAAAUGGCUUCUAAUGUUAAAGCAUCAACUGCUCUUGUUCUUUCUCUUAACCUUCUUUUCUUUGCUUUUGUAAGCUCUCACAACGUGGAAAACCCCGUUUUUAUUCAUCCCGGAGAUGUGUACCAUAAUGGCAGAAUCACUCAUGGUCAUCCCGGUACAUGCAAUCCCCUAAAUCUCGGUGUAUGCCUUGGCCUGUUGGAUUUGGUGGGUGUUAGUGUCGGAAACGUACCUACAGAACCAUGUUGCAGCGUGAUUCAAGGAUUGGUCGAUCUUGAAGCUGCAGUUUGCCUUUGCACUGCUGUCAGAGCCAAUGUGUUGGGCAUUCCCAUCCACCUUCCUAUUUCAUUGAGCCUCUUACUCAAUAAAUGUGGAAGAGAAGUAGCUACGGAAUACAUUUGCAGCCCUUAAAUAGCCUUCUUCCCCACAUUCUUUGCUUUAAUUGUGUCUUGAAGUUUCCGUUUUCUAUUUGUUCCAUUUUUUAUGUUUCCUUUCUGAUUAAGUCUUUGUAUUGUUGCUCAUGAGUUGAGGACGGCUUUCAACCUUCCCUUUCAUUUUUAUUCUAAAUAAAAUGAGAAUAUUAUUUGAACAAAAAAUCCUAUUUUAUCAUAAUGAGUUGGAAGGGGUGUUUUUAGGGGGAAAAAUCAUAAUUAAUAUUUUCAACAUUAUUUUUAAUGUUAUAUGACUACCAAGUGGAUUUUUUAUUUCAAGGUGUCAAACCAGUGAAUUUAAUAGAAGAAUUUUAACAGCUGUGACUGUUGGACUUGAAUUUCUAUAUUCAUAAAAUACAGAGAUUAGAUUCCUCAAAAUACAAGUAGGAGACUAACCUCCUAAUGCACGAAGCGUACAUAUACUUAGAGCAUAUUUUAACCUCCCAAUCAAUUAAUCAAUCCAACGCGAAGCGUGGAAACCAUACCAGUUAGUGUAAAAAUAUUGAUCGCGUAUUUUUAUAUUUCAAUUUCUUUCCUAAAUACUCAGAUAUACAAAUUUUACUUGAAACUCUAUUCUAAUGUGCAAUGUUAUACAUAAACUUUGAUUUUGUGUAAUUUGGUUUCAUCCAAUUUUUAUAAAUCUCUAACACCAUUAGCAAUGCAACACCAUUUUAUAUGUAUAUGUUGCAUCCACAAAUAUUUAUAUUUAUAUUUAUGUGAUGUAAAAUAAAAUAAAUCGAUGUAUUUAUUUCUUUAAAUACAUAUAGUUGAAUUAAAAUCAAAGUUUCAACUACACAUUUGAACCGCGAUUAAAUUUUCGUGCGCAUAAUUUCACCAAAUUAAAGUCGGUGUAUCAAAGUUCACAUUCAAUCAAAUUUCAUGUACAAUUUUGAGUUUUAUCCCUUUACUUAGAGACCAGCUACAUUACUUAUUUCAAGUGUUUUACUGAGUUGGUGUGUAAUGUGGGUUCCUAUUUAAGCCAUCAAUUAAAGAAAGAAAAAUGCAUGUGUUGAGCCGAGGGACAGAAAACAUAAAAAAUGGUAAAUGCAGUUGUAGCCGUCUAGGUAAGUUUCUCGUUUUUUUUUCUUUUUCCACCUAACUAUUAAAACUUAAAAAAUGGUCAUUCAACUGUUAGACUUCUCUUUUUAUGGUCACCAGCCAUUAAAUGGCUAAUGGGAAGAUGAUGUAGCGGAUUAUAGAAUUGACAUAAAAGAAACUUUAAACCUCAACCUUUAUACACCGUGCCAAAUUAGUGUUGAUUCUAAAAAAUUAACCCUCAAUGUUUUCACAUUGUGUAAUUUGGUCUUCUUCUUCUUUUUCAAACUUUCAAUUCUUUAUGACCCCUUCACUAAAAAGCUAAAAAAGAAUAUAAAUCCAUCAACUAAAUUUGAUCGGAGAUACAACAAAAACACUCGAAAAUCAAAGAUGAUAAUUUUUCAUCUUUUCUUUCUCUCAAAAUUAGCCCUCAAUGUCACAAAUAAAAGUAAAAUUGCGAGAGAGAGAGAGAGAGAGAGAGCUAGAGACCUAAUUACACAACGUUUACAUGUUGAAGGUAAAGAUUUUUGGGAUCAAGACUAUAUUGACACAAUGUAGAAAUGUUCAGGGUUAAAGUUGCUAUUAUGCCAACUGUAAAAGAUGCCAAGUUAUCUUUUUGUUAGUAAUUUAACAGCUGGUGACCAGAAAAGAAAAAUUUGAAUAAUUGGGUGACCAGAAAAGAAAAUCAUGAAUAGUUUGGUGAUCAUUUUGUAACUUUGCGUAGUUGGGUGACCAUAAUAACUCUCAUAUUUAGAGUUAUUUUAGUAUAGUUUUUUUUAUAGAAUUUUAGGGGGUAAAUUGAGCAUUUUGGUUAAAUUUUAGUAUAUUUUAUUUGAGUUUUAUCAUUUUCAGAGUUAGUUUGGAUUCGUGUGCUAUCUUCCUCUCUAUAUUGUAAGUUUUGGAUGAAGAACGGGGGGCAUGGAGCACAGGGUAAAAAAUAGUGAAGAGAAAUCAUCUGCUCCACCAAACUUGAUUCAGUGUGGUGGAGCACAAUCUUCAAUUAAGAAUUUCAGAUAGCAAGCAGCCCACUCCACUGCGAAUUCUACGUCUGGUGGAGCCAAGCGAUUAAUACCCUAAAAAUAGAGGGUGAUGUGAUUAAGCGGAAUAGGAGAGGAAAAUGGGUGAAAAAAAAUAACUUGGAGGCCAAGGAACAAUUCUCUUACACUAAGGGGAGCUUCAACCUUGCAAAGACGAGAAGAAAAAGAGAUCUGGAGCGCUUGGCUUUAGUUCGACGAUUUUUUUUAUCUCUAGAUUAUUUUAUUUUUACUUUUUUUUCAAAGCAAGUUUGUUUUGUGUUUCUUCUUGUGAUGUUUUCCCAACGCAACAAGAACUAAAAUCUAUUUUCUUGGAAUGAUGAUGAAUCAUAUUUUUUAGAUAAUUAAAUAUUUUCUCUUCAACUGUUUCAAUCUCUAUUAAUUAUUUAUUCAGCUUUAUGCUUAUUUACUCUGUUUGUCUGGCCACCAAGUCGUAUUAAUUUGGUGAUCUUGAUUUGUCGUAAAAGAGAAAAAUUAAGGUUUAUGUCUAGACUAAAUAGAUUAGGAUUAACUUUAGUAGCGCUGACGAAUGAGUUAAUUUACAGCUAGGAUAGGAAUAUACCUGAUGCGCAAAUCAACCCAAUAUGCUUUUCCAUAGUGGCGUUGCUCGAUUUGCCUAGCAUAGGAAUAUAGCUGGUGGGGGAGGGGGAUUAACUUAGCUAGAUACUGGGAGGGUCUAGUUAAUGCCACAGAAUCAUAGGUUAAUAAUUGUAUAGACUGAACAAUUGAAUGAGAGAUAAUUGAUUAACUUAAUUAGGUAAAUUAGAGUUCCAAGAUCUUUCAAAAUCGAUUGAGAAACUUAGUAAUUUUCAUUUUUUAUGUAGUUUAAUAAAAUCUCUUUAAUUCCUUUAGUUUAACUUAAGUAGUUAUUAGAAUUUCUUUUCUUGAUCCAGAUUGGAUAAAAUUCGAUAAUUGAUAUUUAGCAGCUUAAAAUUAAAUUUGGUCCUCAUAGGAAGGGCAUCAUCUUAUCACUGUAUUACUUGAUUAAUACGUGCACUUACAUAAUAAAGUUUCCCACAUAAAACCAGAAAAGAAAUUAACUAGUAAUGGAGUGACUACCAAUAUAGUUUACCACACCAUUAGUCCUGUUGAGCAGCUCAAAGAUUUUAACAUAUAUAUAUUUAUGACAGAAAUCUUAAUUAGGCCAUGCAUCUCUGCAAAUAUAAUAUACAUACAUAUAUAUACAUUACUAACAACGUUGUACUCAUGUUACUAAUUAAAUCGAUUAAAGAUGCCUUGUGAUAAAGAUAUCAUCCAUCAUAGACGUGGGAGAAUUUUAUAUAUAUAUAGUUGCCAGCCAAACAGAUACUCCAAGAUCCAAGAUUGUUCAACUAAUCAGACUUCGUGCCUCUCAUUUUCUAGUUCUAAAAAAGCUUCAAAGUUCAUACAUUCCAGCUAUAAAAACCCUUUGCUCCCUUUGCCACCUUUAUCGGUAGUUCCAGCUUAAUUUCUCUAAACAAAACACUCAUUUCAUCAAUCACUUCAAAUCAUUUUCUUUUGGAAAAUGGCUUCUAAUGUUAAAGCAUCAACUGCUAUUGUUCUUUCUCUUAACCUUCUUUUCUUUGCUUUUGUAAGCUCUCACAACGUGGAAAACCCCGUUUUUAUUCAUCACGGAGAUGUGUACCAUAAUGGCAGAAUCACUCAUGGUCAUCCCGGUACAUGCAAUCCCCUAAAUAUCGGUGUAUGCCUUGGCCUGUUGGAUUUGGUGGGUGUUAGUGUCGGAAACGUACCUACAGAACCAUGUUGCAGCGU